UACAUGAACUACCUCGUUCUGUAAAGUAAAAGACCGGAGUUACACGUUUUAAAGAAAACUUGUUUAUUCUCGAGAAUCUAAUUAUAAUCAGCGAUAUUAGAAUUACUUUGUUCUAGUGACGAUCUAAUUUAGAAUACUGGCAGCGAGAAGAUAGGCACCGAAUAUCUUUAUUACCUUAAAAUGCUGACUGUGCGCCUGGCACCUUGGAAUUAAGAUCAAUUAUGGCUAUACACCUGGACCUGGUCAACACGGACUGGAACCAAAAUGAUAUCAUAUGAAAAUAAUUCUGCGUUCCUGGUCCAUCUGCGAACCGCACUGUAACCUGAAUGCAGAAGUCGCGGAACAAAGAAAGUAAUUGCGUAAACUUUGUGCAUCUUAUUAUUUCGGCCACUAUGUUCCAUUAAAAGACUGAUAUAAAAGUU
Long non-coding RNA from Hermetia illucens (black soldier fly), 422 nucleotides. RefSeq lists it as uncharacterized. NCBI's taxonomy places the organism in Eukaryota, Metazoa, Arthropoda, Insecta, Diptera, Stratiomyidae. The transcript is spliced from 2 exons. The record is from RefSeq and is a predicted model, not a curated record.